RNAcentral lists this ribosomal RNA (658 nucleotides) under uncultured bacterium. Its description in RNAcentral is "bacterial SSU rRNA". It matches the Rfam family "Bacterial small subunit ribosomal RNA", at positions 187 to 848 of the family's 1533-position model. The record is from RNAcentral.
GCGUGUUCACAUGAUUAAAGGUAUUCCGGUAGACGAUGGGGAUGCGUUCCAUUAGAUAGUAGGCGGGGUAACGGCCCACCUAGUCUUCGAUGGAUAGGGGUUCUGAGAGGAAGGUCCCCCACAUUGGAACUGAGACACGGUCCAAACUCCUACGGGAGGCAGCAGUGAGGAAUAUUGGUCAAUGGGCGAGAGCCUGAACCAGCCAAGUAGCGUGAAGGAUGACUGCCCUAUGGGUUGUAAACUUCUUUUAUAAAGGAAUAAAGUCGGGUAUGCAUACCUGUUUGCAUGUACUUUAUGAAUAAGGAUCGGCUAACUCCGUGCCAGCAGCCGCGGUAAUACGGAGGAUCCGAGCGUUAUCCGGAUUUAUUGGGUUUAAAGGGAGCGUAGAUGGAUGUUUAAGUCAGUUGUGAAAGUUUGCGGCUCAACCGUAAAAUUGCAGUUGAUACUGGAUAUCUUGAGUGCAGUUGAGGCAGGCGGAAUUCGUGGUGUAGCGGUGAAAUGCUUAGAUAUCACGAAGAACUCCGAUUGCGAAGGCAGCCUGCUAAGCUGCAACUGACAUUGAGGCUCGAAAGUGUGGGUACCAAACAGGAUUAGAUACCCUGGUAGUCCACACGGUAAACGAUGAAUACUCGCUGUUUGCGAUAUACAGCAAGCGGCC